RNAcentral lists this ribosomal RNA (3601 nucleotides) under Candidatus Woesearchaeota archaeon. RNAcentral describes it as "23S ribosomal RNA". It matches the Rfam family "Archaeal large subunit ribosomal RNA". Lineage: Archaea; Nanobdellati; Candidatus Woesearchaeota. The record is from RNAcentral.
GGUGGAUGACUUGGCUUAAUCGUCGAUGAAGGGCGUGGCAAGCUACGAUAUGCCCCAGUUAGUUGCAAGCAAACUUUGACCUGGGGAUUCCUGAAUGUGACAUCACAAUAGGUCCGAAAGGACAGAGAACUCCGGGAAGUGAAACAUCUCAGUACCGGAAGGAAAAGAAAUCAAUUGAGAUGCUGUCAGUAAAGGCGAUUGAACACAGCACAGAGCAAACCGAAUCUGCUCAGUAAUGAGUAAGAAAUGUGGUGUUAGGAUUCUCUUUUAGUCCGAAAAUUUUUUUCUGAAGUUUUCUGGAAAGAAAUGCGAUACAGGGUGAUAGCCCCGUAAGGAAAAAAUUUGGAUGUGAGAAUAUCCAGAGUACUGCAUCUUGGAUACGAUGUGGGAACGCGGGAGGCAUUGACUUCUAACUCUAAAUACGUAUUAAGUCCGAUAGCAAACAAGUACAGCGAUGGAAAGUUUAAAAGAACCCUUAACAGGGAGUUAACAGAGCCUGAAACCUAAUAGUUAUCGCGUGAUAGGGUUUUAAGGAAUUCUAUCGUACGUUUUGAAUAACGGGCCAGGAAGUUAUUUCUUGUGGCGAGAGUAAUUCGAAAAGAAGUACUCGAAGCGAAAGCGAAAACUCGCAAGCAAUGAGGAGUUUCGUCAUAAUAGGCGAAAAGUCACAGGGAAUAGACCCGAAGCCGGGUGAUCUAAUCGUUAGUAAGGUGAAGCGAAGGUAAAACUUCGUGGAGGCCUGAAGAGGUAUUGUGUGCAAGCAUUUUUCUAACUGACGAUUAGGGGUGAAAAGCCAAUCGAACCCGGUUAUAGCUGGUUCCUAUCCAAGUUGGCCGCAGUCAAGUCUCGGAUGAGAUAGUUAAAUUGGUAGAGAUACGGAUUAGAGAUUUAGGACUCGAAAGAGUUCGGUUUUUUGUCCAACUCCGAAUAUUCUAGUUCCGUAGAUCUCGGGAGACGGGGUUCCGGGGUAAACUUGGAAUCCGCGAGGGGAACAACCCAGACUAUGGUUAAGGUCCCNNAAAAAGUGCGUAACAGCUUACUUAUCAAGAAGGUGAGCCUUUAAAAUGGACGGGGCUAAAUUGAUUACCGAUACUACAGACAAUGGCAACAUUUGUGAUAGAUAGGCGUUGUGGCAGGGCAGAAGCAAGUUUGAAAAGACUCGUGGACCUGUCAUAAUUGAAGAUCCUGGCGGUAGUAGGAACAUAGUGCAGUUAGAGUCUGCACCACUGAAAGGGCAAGGGUUCCUNNGGGAAACUGGUUAAUAUUCCAGUCCUGCUUAAAUAUGCGUGGCAACACAAGCAUUAUUUCUGACACUUUCGGCUAGACGGACACAAAUUGUUAUUUGUGUUAAUGAGAACAAAUCAAGGGAGUAUCGUAAUGAUGAGAANNGGUGCCCCUAGGUGAGAAGCCUCAAGUGUGAGGGAUUAAAUUAGUUAAGGGAAUUCGGCAUAUUGGCCCCGUGCCUUCGGCAUAUGGGGUCCCUGCUUUUGUAUAUCGAAUUUAUUCUGUAUGCGAUAGCAGGGUGCAAUAACUACGACGGUCCGACUGUUUACCAAAAACGUAGAUUUGUGCUAAGCUGUAAAGCUUUGUAUACAAAUUGACAUCUGCCCAGUGCCUGUAUCCGAAACUCCGGUUCAACGGAGCUAACGACAGGUAAACGGCGGGAGUAACUAUAACUCUCUUAAGGUAGAAUAUUUCACUGCUUUAAGUCCCAAAAGAGUAAACAGAGAAAAAACAUGGGAUAAAAAUUUGGCUAUAUGCUGGAACAUCUGAGAAUCUCAGACUACUUUUCCACAGGACAAGUGCUCACAAAGCAUUUAAACUGCAGGAAAAGUAAAAACGUUAUGAGUGCAGAUAAUCAGCACGCAACCCUUAAGUUAGCUUGGCUUGCUGGAAUAAUUGAUGGAGAAGGAUCAUUAAUGAUUCCUCGAUACCAUCGAAAUGGAAAUAUUCGGUAUGGUUACAGAGUAAGUAUAUCUAACACGAAUAUGUUGAUAAUAAAUCAAUGUAGAGAAAUUUUAGAUAUACUGAAAAUAAAAUAUUGUAACUAUACGCAGGAUAGAGGAAACGAUGGGUUGAGAAGAAAAAUAACUCAUCAAGUCCACAUUACAAACAGAAAAGGAAUUUUGGUUUUUCUUGAAAAAAUCAUUCCUCAUCUCGUUGGUAAAAGAAAGCAAGCAGAACUCUUGAAUAAAUUUCUAAACAAUUGGGAAAGCAUAGACAAAAACGAUGCUUACUUAAUAUUUAGGAAAUUAAACGAGAGAGUACCAAGAUAACAAAAGGAGAGUCGUCAGAGACUAAACGCCAAACAUCGAAAAUGAUGAAGAUAUAGUCCGAACUUAUAUGCGAAUAUAAGAGACAAACAGAAAUGUUUGUACGUUUUCUAACACAAUCUCGACAAAGUCGAGCUGUGCCCAUUAAAAUGGGAAAGAAAAUUGUAACAGAUACGAGCGAAAUACCUUGUCGUUUGAAUGACGACGUGCAUGAAUGGUGGAACGAGAUCGUCACUGUCCCUAACUAACAUCCCCUGAAUACAGUAUUCUGGCGUAGAGGCCAGAGAAUUCCAGUGGGAAGCGAAGACCCCGUGAAACUUUACUGUAGCUUGUAGCUGUGGAGCGAGUUUUGUUGCAUAGCGUAAACGGUAGAGGUUAUGUGCAAGCCUUAGGGCUUGCAAUACUCGACAAUGUAACACCGUUCUUUAGAACUUGCCCCACUUACCUUGCAAAAGGAACAACUAUAGGUGGACAGUUUGGCUGGGGUGGCACACCGUUGAAAUGAUAUCGACGGUGCCCAAUGGUUAACUCAAUCGGGUCAGAAAUCCGAUGAAGAGUGCAAGAGCAAAAGUUAGCCUGAUUGAAUUUACAAUAACCCUAAAUUCAAACACGAAAGUGUGGUCUAGCGAUCCCCUGUACUUCCUUAAUGGGAGUCAGGUGUGACGGAAAAGUUACUCCGGGGAUAACAGAGUUGUCGCGCCCGAGAGUUCACAUCGACGGCGCGGCUUGCUACAUCGAUGUCGGCUCUUCCUAUCCUGGCCGUGCAGAAGCGGCCAAGGGUGGGGGUGUUCACCCAUUAAAAGGGAUCGUGAGCUGGGUUCACAACGUUAGUAACAUAGCGUUGCAUAUUCGUAAGAAUGUGAAUUCCAAUCUCGAAAGAGAUGAACCGUUUUAACUUCAUGUUAAAAUUUGGAAAUAAAAUUGGCUAAUAUCGGUGGAACCUAAAAUCUUUUUUUGAGCAGAAAAGAAAUGGCAAUACCGAGGGAAGUUUAUUUGAAAGAAUAUAACCCCGUAGAGACUGAGGAUUAAGUUCCGAGAAUGUUCUUGUUAGAACAUUAAGACGCCGAUCUCCUUCGCAAGAAGGAUGAUGAUAUAGUCCAUACCAAUCGAAAGAUUUGGAACAAUAUGUGUGAGACAGUUGGUUUGAUAUCUACUGGAAUUGUUUGAAAUCUGAGGGGAAGGGACUUCUAGUACGAGAGGAACGGAGUCCCGUGGCCUCUGGUCUAUCGGUUAUUCAACAGAGUAUGCCGAGCAGCUACGCCAUAAAGGAUAAAUUCUGAAAGCAUCUAAGAAUGAAGCCUUCCUCGAAAAGAGAUUUCGUAGAACGC